Molecule: ribosomal RNA, 269 nt
Filed under: uncultured prokaryote
Description: partial 16S ribosomal RNA
Rfam family: Bacterial small subunit ribosomal RNA
Source: RNAcentral
UACGGAGGAUCCGAGCGUUAUCCGGAUUUAUUGGGUUUAAAGGGUGCGCAGGCGGGAGAUUAAGUCGGCGGUGAAAUUUUGCAGCUCAACUGUAAAAGUGCCUUCGAAACUGGUUUCCUUGAGUGUGGAUGAGGUAGGCGGAAUUUGUGGUGUAGCGGUGAAGUGCAUAGAUAUCACGAGGAACUCCGAUUGCGCAGGCAGCCUACUAAACCAUAACUGACGCUCAGGCACGAAGGCGUGGGGAUCAAACAGGAUUAGAUACCCCUGUA